RNAcentral lists this ribosomal RNA (163 nucleotides) under uncultured bacterium. RNAcentral's name for it is "partial 16S ribosomal RNA". It matches the Rfam family "Bacterial small subunit ribosomal RNA", at positions 355 to 509 of the family's 1533-position model. The record is from RNAcentral.
UAGGGAAUUUUCGUCAAUGGGCGCAAGCCUGAACGAGCAAUGCCGCGUGAACGAGGAAAGGUCUUCGGAUCGUAAAGUUCUGUUGAAGGGGAAAAAGAGCGGAGAGAGGAAAUGGUCUCCGAUUGAUAUUACCCUUCGAGGAAGUCACGGCUAACUACGUGCC